This 460-nucleotide ribosomal RNA is filed under the name uncultured bacterium. Its description in RNAcentral is "partial 16S ribosomal RNA". It matches the Rfam family "Bacterial small subunit ribosomal RNA", at positions 338 to 795 of the family's 1533-position model. The record is from RNAcentral.
CCUACGGGCGGCAGCAGUGAGGAAUCUUGGUAAAUGGACGCAAGUCUGAACCAGCCAUGCCGCGUGCAGGAAGACGGCUCUAUGCGUUGUAAACUGCUUUUGUACGAGGGUACACGCAGAUACGCGUAUCUGUCUGAAAGUAUCGUACGAAUAAGGAUCGGCUAACCCCGUUCCAGACGCCGCGGUAAUACGGAGGAUUCAAGCAUUAUCCGGAUUUAUUGGGUGUAAAGGGUGCGUCAGCGGUCGGAUAAGUUAGAUGUGAACUCACGAGGCUCAACUGCGGAAUUGGCUCUGAUACUGUUCGGCUAGAGAGUAGUUGCGGUAGGCGGAAUGUAAGGUGUAGCGGUGAAAUGCUUAGAGAUCAUACAGAACACCGAUUGCGAAGGCAGCUUACCAAGCUACUUCUGACGUUGAGGCACGAAAGCGUGGGGAGCAAACAGGAUUAGAUACCCGGGUAGUC